GAUGAACGCUGGCGGCGUGCUUAACACAUGCAAGUCGAGUGAGUGAGUUCUUCGGAACGAUAUAGCGGCGGACGGGUGAGUAACACGUGGGCAACCUGCCUCAUAGAGGGGGAUAGCCUACUGAAAGGGAGACUAAUACAGCAUAAAAUUAUCGAGUGGCAGCAAACGAUAAUCAAAGGAGUAAUACGCUAUGAGAUGGGCCCGCGUAGCAUUAGCUAGUUGGUGAGGUAACGGCAAACCAAGUAGACGACGGUUAGACGACCUGGGAGGGUGAUCGGCCACAUAGGGACUGAGACACGUCCCAGACUCCUGCGGGAGGCAGCGGUAGGGAAUAUUGCACAAUGGGGGAAACCCUGAUGCAGCAACGCCGCGUGAGUGAUGAAGGUCUUCGGAUUGUAAAGCUCUAGCUUUGGGGACGAUAAUGACGGUACCCAAGGAGGAAGCCACGGCUAACUACGUGCCAGCAGCCGCCGUAA
This 476-nucleotide ribosomal RNA is filed under the name uncultured bacterium. RNAcentral describes it as "partial 16S ribosomal RNA". It matches the Rfam family "Bacterial small subunit ribosomal RNA", at positions 28 to 523 of the family's 1533-position model. The record is from RNAcentral.